GUGUCAGCCGCCGCGGUAAAACCAGCACCUCAAGUGGUCAGGAUGAUUAUUGGGCCUAAAGCAUCCGUAGCCGGCUCAGUAAGUUUUCGGUUAAAUCUGUACGCUCAACGUACAGGCUGCCGGGAAUACUGCAGAGCUAGGGAGUGGGAGAGGUAGACGGUACUCGGGAGGAAGUGGUAAAAUGCUUUGAUCUUUCGAUGACCACCUGUGGCGAAGGCGGUCUACCAGAACACGUCCGACGGUGAGGGAUGAAAGCUGGGGGAGCAAACCGGAUUAGAUACCCGGGUAGUCCCAGCUGUAAACUAUGCAAACUCAGUGAUGCAUUGGCUUGUGGCCAAUGCAGUGUUGCAGGGAAGCCGUUAAGUUUGCCGCCUGGGAAGUACGUACGCAAGUAUGAAACUUAAAGGAAUUGGCGGGGGAGCACCACAAGGGGUGAAGCCUGCGGUUCAAUUGGAGUCAACGCCAGAAAUCUUACCCGGAGAGACAGCAGAAUGAAGGUCAAGCUGAAGACUUUACCAGACAAGCUGAGAGGUGGUGCAUGGCCGUCGCCAGCUCGUGCCGUGAGAUGUCCUGUUAAGUCAGGUAACGAGCGAGAUCCCUGCCUCUAGUUGCCACCAUUACUCUCAGGAGUAGUGGGGCGAAUUAGCGGGACCGCCGCAGUUAAUGCGGAGGAAGGAAGGGGCCACGGCAGGUCAGUAUGCCCCGAAACUCUGGGGCCACACGCGGGCUGCAAUGGUAAUGACAAUGUGUUCCGAAUCCGAAAGGAAGAGGUAAUCCUCAAACAUUACCACAGUUAUGACUGAGGGCUGCAACUCGCCCUCACGAAUAUGGAAUCCCUAGUAACUGCGUGUCAUUAUCGCGCGGUGAAUACGUCCCUGCUCCUUGCACACACCGCCCGUC
RNAcentral lists this ribosomal RNA (900 nucleotides) under uncultured archaeon. RNAcentral describes it as "bacterial SSU rRNA". It matches the Rfam family "Archaeal small subunit ribosomal RNA", at positions 455 to 1354 of the family's 1478-position model. The record is from RNAcentral.